RNAcentral lists this ribosomal RNA (230 nucleotides) under uncultured bacterium. Its description in RNAcentral is "partial 16S ribosomal RNA". It matches the Rfam family "Bacterial small subunit ribosomal RNA", at positions 562 to 791 of the family's 1533-position model. The record is from RNAcentral.
AAAGAGCUCGUAGGCGGUCUGUCACGUCGGCUGUGAAAACCUGGGGCUCAACCCCGGGCCUGCAGCCGAUACGGGCAGACUAGAAUUCGGUAGGGGAGACUGGAAUUCCUGGUGUAGCGGUGAAAUGCGCAGAUAUCAGGAGGAACACCGGUGGCGAAGGCGGGUCUCUGGGCCGAUAUUGACGCUGAGGAGCGAAAGCGUGGGGAGCAAACAGGAUUAGAUACCCCAGU